This is a long non-coding RNA of Oreochromis niloticus (Nile tilapia), 1123 nucleotides long. RefSeq lists it as uncharacterized. The record is from RefSeq and is a predicted model, not a curated record. The transcript is spliced from 3 exons. Lineage: Eukaryota; Metazoa; Chordata; Actinopteri; Cichliformes; Cichlidae.
AUUGGACUGAUGACAAAGACAACAGAGAAAUGAAGCAGUAAAGAUCAGAGACAGACUAGCAGGGUUUUAGUCACAAAGACAGACAUGCAACAAAACAGAGCUUUUUGGACUGAGCACAGGAAGGAGCAACAUUAUUUGUGUGUUCUUUUCUUCCUUGGAAAUCAUGCAGGUAAAACAUGUCAGAGGUGGAGUAAGAAGCAGGAAAAAAGCACUUUCCUUUAUCAUGGGAGGUUUGGGCCCAUCAAGCCUGCUGUGAGUCCAACUCUCAUGUAGAAGAUUCAGUAGAUGGUUUAAAAACAGGAGGGAUGCUUCAGAAGGAAGAUCCAGAUUGUGAGACAGUGGUUGGUUGAAGAGGCUUCAGUGACUAAAAUCAAACACACACACACACACGUUGGAGUCCGGUGUGUCCACACUCUUCAUCUCACCUGAGAUAUGAAUCUUCAAAUAACAAAGAAAAUCUGAAUGACAGACUCAGAAAGACUCACUGCAACAUUUUGAUUAUUUAUCAUCACUGUAAAUUUUACUGUUUCACUCUCCUCCAUGUUGGAGCAUCAAAAUGAACCAUAGGCCCCGCCCACCAAAGUCCAGCUAAACCAAUGAGAUGAUUUCUGUCUGUAGAGCAAAAAGUUUGAGGAAAUAAAAUCACAACCUGAUGAAUCUGCUAUUGUUCAUGUGCUGUCUGUCUGGCUUUAAUAACUCCAAAGACAUGUUGCUGCACCUCUUUUUGCUUCUAUCUCACAUUAUAGGACUCACAGCUGGAGACUCAAUCACUCCUCAACAAACUGAAGUCACUGAAACAGAAGGAAAAUCUGUCAAACUCACAUGUAGCUAUGAGACAGAUGCAGGUGGUGCUUUACUUCACUGGUACAGACAUCAUUCUGACCUUCAGGCUCCUCAGUUUAUACUCUGGAAACAAGGAAAAGGAGGGACAGCUGAAUAUAUUCCUGAUAAUCAAUAUGAAUCAGAAACAUCUUCUACAUCAACUACUCUGACCAUAACAGCCCUAACCCUGGCAGACACAGCUCUCUACUACUGUGCUCUAGAAACACAGUGAUACAAAGUGUAGAAGAGGCUGUACAAAAACCUGAACACAGAUAUCUGACUACUCUUCAAAGAGGAGGGA